RNAcentral lists this ribosomal RNA (474 nucleotides) under Triticum aestivum (bread wheat). RNAcentral's name for it is "partial small subunit ribosomal RNA". Lineage: Eukaryota; Viridiplantae; Streptophyta; Magnoliopsida; Poales; Poaceae. The record is from RNAcentral.
AUGUAUACCAAUAACAGCACCAGGCAACAAAUUUUCCUCAUAAAUUCAAUCAUGGCACAGACUCCCCAAUGCCCAUACACCAAUCCAAAUUGCGCAGCCACAAAACUCCAGUUUCCAAUCAGCAAACUAGAAUUCCAGCCCCAUCAACCUAAAACUUCCCUAACAUCCGUAUUAAACUCCGUAAUCCAACUUUUCAUCUUAAGAACACAAUAUAAGUCACUGCAAAUGAAGAUACCCCAACAAGCUACAGUCCUCCGCGGUCAAGCCUUGCUAAUGCAGCAAGCCAUCCUAAACUCAAUGAUGGCACAUGCUCUCCGAUGCCCACACACCAAUCUAAAUUGCACACCCACAAAACUCCAAUGUCCUGUCAGCAAACUAGAAAUCCAAGACCAUCACCCUUCUGCCAUCAUAAAAUACCUCAUUAUCCGGAUUAAACUUUCUAAUCCAACCUUUCAUCCGAACAACACAACAUAA